Long non-coding RNA from Jaculus jaculus (lesser Egyptian jerboa), 894 nucleotides. RefSeq lists it as uncharacterized. The record is from RefSeq and is a predicted model, not a curated record. Lineage: Eukaryota; Metazoa; Chordata; Mammalia; Rodentia; Dipodidae. The transcript has 4 exons.
GAGAGCGAAAGGAGAGAAAUGAAGGACUGGCUGGGGUGGAGACAGGAUGCCUCAAGAGAAUGCGGAGAGGAAGGAGCUUCGUGAAGGAAGAACGCCAAGAAGCGUAAAGACCGAGCGGGUUGAAAGCCUCACGAGGACAGCCACCACUGGUUGUUCCUCGCAUCAGGGUGACAGAAUGGCAGCCGCAAAGGGUGUCUGCAGGUGCUGAUUGACUGAAGUGGGUGGUUGGAACAGUUUGUUCUCAAGACAACUUGCAUCACAUUCUAACUGCUCCUGGCAUCUCAACUCGAGAUUGUAAUGUGCUUUCUUGCCCUUCUAAGGGAAUAAAAAAGAACAAAAGAUAUUUUAAUAGAAUAACUUCUGAAAUUUUUUUCGAAAAGGUUUUUUUUUAAAAGAGCCACCCCAGCACCUCCAACAACCUUUCUUCUGCAUCAGCCUCGUGAGUCAUCCUCAAUGAGAGUACGUGACUCCUCAGGUUAACUUCCUUUAUGAGAGAUGCAGCUGCCUUUGAACCAUCCAUGUCCUUGUCACCUCUCAUCUAGGCUCCUGUAAGUAGCCCCUCACCCACGUCCCUAUAAGAAGAGACUCACUGCUUCGCUAAGUUAGACUUGGCUGGAAUAGUUUCUUGGGUGUAGAUGGUGCCCUGUCUUGGGCUGGACUUGAAUUUACACUGACUCUCCUACCCCAUCCUCCCAAGCGCUGGGAUUAAAGGCAAGUCCUUGUUCAUAUUGGAAUCAGAUGGAAAUUCAAGGGUCACUUCUUCCAAGUUGCUGCAUGAAGAGGACGCGGGGGCUGGAGAGAUGGGUUAGUGGUUAAGCGCUUGCCUGUGAAGCCUAAGGACCCCAGUUCGAGGCUCCAUUCACCAGGACCCACUUUAGCCAGAUGCACACAAGG